RNAcentral lists this long non-coding RNA (2681 nucleotides) under Medicago truncatula (barrel medic). RNAcentral describes it as "long non-coding RNA (MTRU_LNC001555)". The record is from RNAcentral. Lineage: Eukaryota; Viridiplantae; Streptophyta; Magnoliopsida; Fabales; Fabaceae.
AGUCUGACAGCAAUUCGAGUUUCGUUCGCAUGGAAGAGUUGCAUUAUUGUAUGUUUACUGCAAAAGGUAUGCAUUUUCACAAAUACUAUCAUCCAUGUUAUAGCAACUCAACAUAGAAGCGAUCGAACCUCUUAAUGGUCCAAUUUGUCAAAACACCGCUGCAGAAUGAAUACCUAGGAANUCGAAAACGGGUUAACGGUUUGAUUUUUAGGCGCGAAAACGUGAAGGGUGAAAAUCUGAUGCUGUCGAAAUCAUGAGGCGAUUCUAGUGAUCAUGAGGCGAUUUCGACAAAAAAUCUGUAAUUUUAGUAUGUUUGAUGCUGUCGAAAUCAUGAGGCGAUUCUAGUGAUCAUGACAGAAAAUCUGUAAUUUUAGUAUGUCUGAUGCUGUCGAAAUCAUGAGGCGAUUCUAGUGAUCAUGAGGCGAUUUUGACAGAAAAAUCUGUCAUUUUAGUAUGUCUGAUGCUGUCUUACCAGAAACCUUAAAAAUGCAAUUCUCUUCACUCCAAAUAUUUCCAGACUUCUUCUUAAGUGUAGGAACUUUAUCCUAAUCAUCUAGAGAUGUUUUUUAGGAAGGAGAUAACCUUGUAUAAAGGGUCUAAUGAGUUCAUGAGUUGGUCUUUAGGGUAGGAAUGGUAGUUGUUUACAAUAUUAAUGAUAAUCUAUGAAGCUGUUUUAGGAUGUGUUGAUGUUGAUUAUGAUGUCGUACUUAUUACUUGAAUUAUGAAUGUAUAUUUGAGAUGUUGUUGAAUUACAUUUGAUAUUAUUAUGUCAUGUUGUUUUGUAUACUGUUGUGUCGCUGUUGUUAUUUAACUAAGCUGCAUGAGUCGGUCUAAGUUAAUUAAGAUGAUGAGGUUCCAAAGCAUUGGAUUAUAUAAGAGGUUGUGGAUUUAAGAUGUUUAAGAGGUCGAGUCCAUGCAUUAGCAUUUCAUUGUUGGGGCUUGAUGCCCUGGAGCCUUUGCUCAAUUAAGUUGAGGGCUUGAUGCCCUUUGAGCCUUUUUACGCUCAAAUAAAGUUGAGGGUUUGAUGCCCUGGGAGCCUAUUUACGCUCAAAUACGUUGGGGGCUUNUACAAAUUUGCUACUAAUUAGCUACUAAAUGAGUAACAAUUUUUAGGUGCUGCAAGUUUUACUCUCAAAUGUUACUGAAAUCAUUUAGUAACACGGGCUUUACCUAACAUUUGUCAAAUGUUACAAGAUCUAAAUAGUAACAGUUGUUUUUGAUUUAGUUACAAUUUUGAAGUGUUACUAAAUCUUAUAUAUGUAGUAGUGAAUCAAUGGCUACAAGAUGAUUUCGAGCAUGGUGGAAGAGCUGUAACUUUCCUAUUCUAAAUGGCAUCCUAAAUAGUUAUAACAAUUUAGCAUAUCCAAAGUUCAAACAAGCAAACUUGUGCGUAUUUACACCAAAAGUUUUAGCUUUCAAAAAAACCAGAGGACGUAAACGUAGGAUUAAAUAUUUGUAGCAACUUUACACAAAUCUAUCCUAAAAUUCUAACAGAGAGAUGGCAGGAUGUACUCAGAUUGAUCUGCCAGACCAAAAGGAGCGUAAGGCAUAGCCCCUUUCCUACAGCAACGGUUGAUAAUUCCCUUCCACUUUAUGUAGAAAUAUAUUAGAAAGCUGAAUCUAUAUUGCCACAAAUGCCACUGUUGUAGAAUUCUUUAGGACAUUUAUUUGCAUAACAAUUAGAUUUGGGAAGUUUGUGUAUUUCAAUUUCAUUGUUACCUACCUAGCUAUAAUAGAAUUCAAUUUACAAUACCUCUUAUUGGGAAGAUUCAGAAUAAUAAUUAGCAUAAAUAAUCAAGUAUUUGUACUUUUGUAGUGUUGAUUGCUUACAAUAAAAUAUCCAGAUUCACUGUUGUAACUGCAUCACACGGUUGAAUGCAGAAUAUACUGUGAGCCAAUAAUUUUAUAUCAAACAACUCGACGACACAUUCACCAAAUUGGCUUAGAUUAGGCAGUCAACAUCAGUGACUUUAACAUGACAAGGUAUUCGAUUCCACAUAACAUCUAGCAUUACUAGCGUCACAUUUCAAAAUAAAUGUACACAUAAAGAUGACAUACAAUCCCUUAUCUGAAGUUGUAUUUGAGCUGAAUUUCACAAUUCGUAUCAAACUAGGUCACCAGUCUGACAGCAAUUCGAGUUUCGUUCGCAUGGAAGAGUUGCAUUAUUGUAUGUUUACUGCAAAAGGUAUGCAUUUUCACAAAUACUAUCAUCCAUGUUAUAGCAACUCAACAUAGAAGCGAUCGAACCUCUUAAUGGUCCAAUUUGUCAAAACACCGCUGCAGAAUGAAUACCUAGGAAAGGGUCUUGCUAGCAAGGAUCUGAUGCCAAGACGAAUGAAAGUAUGGAACUUGGAACUGGGCGAGGUGAUAUCUCUUUUUGAACUGACUCAAUGGAGAUUUACUGGAAAUUUUUACCAAGUUCUUGAUUGUGCCAAUGUCCUAUAAUGCAUACUGGUGUAUAGGUGUCAUGAGUUAAAGCUUCAAUAUAUUUCAACUUACAAUUACAUUAGAUUGAAGCAACCAAUUUUUCCUUUUUUAGAAUGAAUGUUGGUUGAAUGUUUUUAUUGUUUUACAUCAACGGGAAGGCAUUGUAUUAGAUUCUUGGGUAUAAAAAGAUGCAUUAUGCAGUCUCAGUAUGCCAUACUUAUUUAAUAGAGAAGUCUAAUACAUGUUUAUUACAA